Molecule: ribosomal RNA, 274 nt
Filed under: uncultured bacterium
Lineage: Bacteria
Description: partial 16S ribosomal RNA
Rfam family: Bacterial small subunit ribosomal RNA
Source: RNAcentral
AUACGGAGGGUGCAAGCGUUAAUCGGAAUUACUGGGCGUAAAGAGUACGUAGGCGGUUCGUUAAGUUAGAUGUGAAAGCCCCGGGCUUAACCUGGGAACUGCAUUUAAAACUGGCGAACUAGAGUUGAGUAGAGGGGAGUGGAAUUUCAGGUGUAGCGGUGAAAUGCGUAGAGAUCUGAAGGAACACCAGUGGCGAAGGCGACUCCCUGGACUCGAACUGACGCUGAGGUACGAAAGCGUGGGUAGCAAACGGGAUUAGAAACCCGAGUAGUCC